Molecule: long non-coding RNA, 452 nt
Filed under: Mytilus galloprovincialis (Mediterranean mussel)
Lineage: Eukaryota; Metazoa; Mollusca; Bivalvia; Mytilida; Mytilidae
Source: RNAcentral
UGUGAUAAUAAGUGAUAUUACCGUUAUUGAUGGAUGAACUAAAGGAGUGAUCAUCAGUAGUGUAUGAAAUAGAGAUAUGGUCAUUUUUGGUGGAUGAAUUGAGGGAGUCAUUAAUCAACCUGAUAGUCAUCAGUGAUCUGUGAAUUAGGAACAUUAUCGUUAGCGGUUGAUGAAUUGAAAGAGUCUUUAUUAGUUGUAUGGGAAUAAGGCAUAUCCCCAUAUUUUGGUGGACGAAUUGAGGGAGUCAUAAUCAGUGGUGUGUGAAUUAAAAAUAAUAUUUUUUUCCCAACGUAACAAUAUAUUUUUUGCAUAUUUGCUGUAACAAUUUACAGCUUUUGAAUUCGUAUCCUUCAUGUUAGCUUACCCAAUAGUUAAGGGAAGCAGCAUUUGGUUAGAUAUUAUUUCUUCAUAAUGUUAGUAUUCACAAUAUAAUACAUUUCACAAGAUAAAUU